RNAcentral lists this transfer RNA (90 nucleotides) under Streptomyces varsoviensis. RNAcentral's name for it is "tRNA-Ser". It matches the Rfam family "tRNA". From Rfam's summary of the family: Transfer RNA (tRNA) molecules are approximately 80 nucleotides in length. Their secondary structure includes four short double-helical elements and three loops (D, anti-codon, and T loops). The record is from RNAcentral. Lineage: Bacteria; Bacillati; Actinomycetota; Actinomycetes; Kitasatosporales; Streptomycetaceae. RNAcentral also lists the same sequence under 14 other names.
GGUAGCGUGUCCGAGCGGCCGAAGGAGCACGCCUCGAAAGCGUGUGAGGGGGCAACUCCUCCGUGGGUUCAAAUCCCACCGCUACCGCCA